RNAcentral lists this ribosomal RNA (417 nucleotides) under uncultured bacterium. RNAcentral's name for it is "partial 16S ribosomal RNA". It matches the Rfam family "Bacterial small subunit ribosomal RNA", at positions 360 to 774 of the family's 1533-position model. The record is from RNAcentral.
AAUAUUGGACAAUGGGGGCAACCCUGACGCAGCCACGCCGCGUGCCGGAAGAAGGCCCUAUGGGUUGUAACCGGCUUUUAUUCGGGAAGAAAGUCCGGGAUUCGUCCUGUUUUGACGGUACCGAAUGAAUAAGCACCGUCUAACUCCGUGCCAGCAGCCGCGGUAAUACGCAGGGUGCAAGCGUUGUCCGGAAUCAUUGGGUGUAAAGGGUGCGUAGGCGGGCACUUAAGUCUGGGGUGAAAUCUUGCCGCUUAACGGUAAAAUUGCCUUGGAUACUGAGUGUCUUGAAUCUGGUAGAGGUUGGCGGAAUUUGUGGUGUAGCGGUGAAAUGCAUAGAUAUCACAAAGAACACCGGUGGCGAAGGCGGCCAACUGGGCCAGUAUUGACGCUGAGGCACGAGAGCGUGGGGAGCAAACA